RNAcentral lists this long non-coding RNA (744 nucleotides) under Manihot esculenta (cassava). RNAcentral describes it as "long non-coding RNA (MESC_LNC001572)". Lineage: Eukaryota; Viridiplantae; Streptophyta; Magnoliopsida; Malpighiales; Euphorbiaceae. The record is from RNAcentral.
ACAGACCAGAGGAACCAGAGAGAGCAGCAGUGAGUACUGCUCCAGAGAUUCAGAACCUGCAGAGUCAGUCAGUCCAGAGCCAGAGGUGAGUGGAACUAAACUUAUGACUUUUAAUGGAACCACAAACUGCUUUUAACAUAUCUCAUGCAUCAUGUUUAUGCCAUAGGUUGAUUGCAUUAGUAUUCACGAAUAUGUUGCAUUGCAUUGUUUAUUUGAUGAUGUGAGUAAAUGCUGAAUGAUCCAAUAGUCACAGACAGGAAGACCAGGAGCCUUUGACUACGCCCUGGCACGUAUAGCAAAGACCAGGAGCCUUUGACUACGCCCUGGCAGGUAUAUAGUAAAGUCCAGGAGCCUUUGACUACGCCCUGGCAAUGGUAAGUUCACAGGUGUUAUAUACACAUAUACAUAUAUGACAGGAAGACCAGGUGCUCGAUUCUACGCCCUGGCACAGAGUUACUGGGACUAUGUGGUGACAGGUUUACUCUUGAUGUGGCUUGUUUGUGUUAUGGCGCAUUUCAUGAGAUCAUAUUUUACUGAGAUGUUUUACUGUUCUACUCACUGGGCUAUAGAGCUCAUCCCACUCCCUUAACCCCAGUUUUGCAGGUUCAGUGUACAGUGUACAGGGACAGUCCAGCAGAGUACAGGAAGAGAGAAGAGAUCUGUAAUAGCUUAGAGUGGACAUGUAAAAUUAAAGAGAUGUAAUAGUUGUUGCUUGACCUAGACCUAGUGAUGUAUGUAUUGUAC